GAUGAACGCUGACAGAAUGCUUAACACAUGCAAGUCUUUGGCGAAGCUGUGCUCGCACAGCCUAGCCAAGGCGGACGGGUGAGUAACGCGUAAGGAACUUGCCCUGCAGUCAGGGAUAACAGACGGAAACGACUGAUAAGACCUGGUAAAGUCAGGCGGACUCAUGUCCAGCCUGAUGAAAAGAGAUGCUGCAGGAGAGCCUUGCGUCCUAUUAGCUUGUUGGUGGGGUAACGGCCCACCAAGGCGAUGAUAGGUAGCCGGCCGGAGAGGGUGGACGGCCACAAGGGGACUGAGAUACGGCCCUUACUCCUACGGGAGGCAGCAGUGGGGAAUAUUGGACAAUGGGGGCAACCCUGAUCCAGCAAUUCUGUGUGCACGAUGAAGGUUUUCGGAUUGUAAAGUGCUUUCAGCAGGGAAGAAAAAAAUGACGGUACCUGCAGAAGAAGCGACGGCUAAAUACGUG
This 463-nucleotide ribosomal RNA is filed under the name uncultured bacterium. RNAcentral describes it as "partial 16S ribosomal RNA". It matches the Rfam family "Bacterial small subunit ribosomal RNA", at positions 28 to 507 of the family's 1533-position model. The record is from RNAcentral.